GACGAACGCUGGCGGCGUGCUUAACACAUGCAAGUCGAACGGAAAGGCCCUGCUUUUGUGGGGUGCUCGAGUGGCGAACGGGUGAGUAACACGUGAGUAACCUGCCCUUGACUUUGGGAUAACUUCAGGAAACUGGGGCUAAUACCGGAUAGGAGCUCCUGCUGCAUGGUGGGGGUUGGAAAGUUUCGGCGGUUGGGGAUGGACUCGCGGCUUAUCAGCUUGUUGGUGGGGUAGUGGCUUACCAAGGCUUUGACGGGUAGCCGGCCUGAGAGGGUGACCGGCCAAAUUGGGACUGAGAUGCGGCCCAGUAUCGUACGGGAUGCAGCAGUGGGGAAUAUUGCAGAAUGGGCGGAAGCCUGAUUCAGAGACGCUGCGUGCGGGAUGACGGCCUUCGGGUUGUAAGCCGCUUUCGCCUGUGACGAAGCGUGAGUGACGGUAAUGGGUAAAGAAGCACCGGCUAACUACGUG
Molecule: ribosomal RNA, 468 nt
Filed under: uncultured bacterium
Lineage: Bacteria
Description: partial 16S ribosomal RNA
Rfam family: Bacterial small subunit ribosomal RNA
Source: RNAcentral